GAUGAACGCUGGCGGCGUGCCUAACACAUGCAAGUCGAACGAGGUCCAUCCUUCGGGAGAAGACCUAGUGGCGAACGGGUGAGUAACACGUGAGGAACCGGCCCCGGAGACCGGGAUAACCACUCGAAAGAGUGGCUAAUACCGCAUGCCCCUAUCCUGCCGCAUCACGGGAUGAGGAAAUGGAUUCCGCUCCGGGAGGGCCUCGCGGCCUAUCAGCUAGUUGGUGAGGUAACGGCUCACCAAGGCAUCGACGGGUAGCUGGUCUGAGAGGACGAUCAGCCACACUGGGACUGAGACCCGGCCCAGACUCCUACGGGAGGCAGCAGUGGGGAAUCUUGCGCAAUGGGCGAAAGCCUGACGCAGCAACGCCGCGUGGGGGAUGAAGGCUCUCGGGUUGUAAACCCCUUUCAGCAGGGACGAAAAUGACGGUACCUGCAGAAGAAGCUCCGGCUAACUACGUGCCAGCCGCCGCGGUAA
This 477-nucleotide ribosomal RNA is filed under the name uncultured bacterium. Its description in RNAcentral is "partial 16S ribosomal RNA". It matches the Rfam family "Bacterial small subunit ribosomal RNA", at positions 28 to 523 of the family's 1533-position model. The record is from RNAcentral.